AUUGCUAGGGGUGCCUUAUGGCUGAGAGGACAAUUUGUCUAACUCUUGAACCUGAUGUGGUUAAUACCACCGUAGGGAAGCAUUAUAA
Molecule: non-coding RNA, 88 nt
Filed under: uncultured Clostridium sp.
Lineage: Bacteria; Bacillati; Bacillota; Clostridia; Eubacteriales; Clostridiaceae
Description: TPP riboswitch (THI element)
Rfam family: TPP riboswitch aptamer (THI element)
About the family: Vitamin B(1) in its active form thiamin pyrophosphate (TPP) is an essential coenzyme that is synthesised by coupling of pyrimidine and thiazole moieties in bacteria.
Source: RNAcentral